This 76-nucleotide transfer RNA is filed under the name Ignicoccus pacificus DSM 13166. RNAcentral describes it as "tRNA-Thr". It matches the Rfam family "tRNA". From Rfam's summary of the family: Transfer RNA (tRNA) molecules are approximately 80 nucleotides in length. The record is from RNAcentral. Lineage: Archaea; Thermoproteati; Thermoproteota; Thermoprotei; Desulfurococcales; Desulfurococcaceae.
GCCGCCGUAGCUCAGCCGGCAGAGCGCCGGCCUUGUAAGCCGGUGGUCGCGGGUUCAAGUCCCGCCGGCGGCUCCA